This is a long non-coding RNA of Pogoniulus pusillus (Red-fronted tinkerbird), 1655 nucleotides long. RefSeq lists it as uncharacterized. The record is from RefSeq and is a predicted model, not a curated record. The transcript is spliced from 3 exons. Lineage: Eukaryota; Metazoa; Chordata; Aves; Piciformes; Lybiidae.
CUUUGUUAAAGGCGUAGGUGGAGGAGACAGUGGCUGCAGGGCUGUUUGCUCUCGCAGUGACAAUUAGGGCUCAUCCUUGGUGGUGGUAACUGCUCGGCUCUUGCAUCCUUUCUGCAUUAGGUGGACUUCACCCACACCAAGCAGUUCAUCUUCUGCACUCAGCGGGGAGGAGGGGAGGUGCUGGGGGAGGUGUUGGAGGGUCUGCUCCUGAGCCUGGAGCUUCCUGAAGUGUUGUACCUAAGUGGAGCUUACCUGGAGACUGAAACAGAGCUGCUGCUGGGGCAAAGACUUGGGAAUGCAUAUGUCCCUGAUGUGAAAAGGGGAUAGUUGAUCGCCCAGAAGGGUGCGUGUCUGCUGGCUUCACCUGCUUCAAGAGCAGUCUCAGCUCUGUCUCAGUUUAUACUUCAGGCAACGUUAAAAAAAAAAAGGUAAGAAAGGUGGUCUGAACCACACCAAGAGUUUAAUCUCUGAGAUAAAAUCAGGGCUGUUGAGGAUUGCUCCUUUAGUCCUUUAGCAAGUCAGGGGAAGGGUGGUGAAAGACAAAGAGGUCCAGACAGAAAACAGUGAGUAACUUUCAGUGCUAAUAACUGAACAUGUAGCUUCUGCAGACACAGCUGUUUGCUUAAAGUGCCCUACAGCACGGUGAGAUGGUCCAACCCCUUGUGUUAAUGCACAGAAGGCAAACCUGACAGAUUAUCCACUUUGGAAAACUAAUCCCAUUAAGGACACCCCCAAGGUGUAUCUCCCAGCCAGCGCCCAUCCUCUCAAGGGCUCAAGCUCCCCUGCACUGGCCUCUGCACCCUGGUCCUAUUCACAGCUUCUGCAGAUGUAUCAUGGGGCCGACACUCCUGGACACAACUGCCCUCCACCUGCAGCCAGGGAAACAGAGAGCAAAGCCCCCCAAAAGUCAUGAGAGUGAUGUGAGUUGGGGUGCAGCUCAGGGUGGGGGAUGCUGUCAGGAAGGAGGCCAGGUCUUGGUGCUGGCUUGAUGCUGUCCUUAGGCUCCCUCUAGAGUUUACAUCGAAUGAGCAAAAGGUCUCAAACUCGGCUUGUGCUGCACCCUGCCCCUACAGGGAGGCAUGCAGAGGAGGGCUGGCACCUCCUAGCCCCCCUACACUUUGGCACUGCUCCGGUCUUGGGCGCUACUGGAUGAUACCCCAAGUCCUUCAUACACCAAAAUGGCUUUUUCCUCCCUAGCAGUCUCUGCUGCUGAACCUCAAUGGGCCCUAAGCUCACCCAGAAAGGAAAAGCUCCAGUGAAGGAUGUUAGGAACAUCCUGAUUCGAGGCCUGUACCUCGAAUCUCAUGGCAAUCUCACCCCACACCUCUGGAGGAAAUGAGCAUUUUGCCUGCAAAUCGGAUAUGUGGAGAAGCGGCAGCAGCAGCAGCAGCAGCUCAGUGAUAGCUGUGUGAGAAUCAAACUUACUCAAGCUUCCAGCCUUCAGAUGAGUCACAUCGUGUCUUGCCUCCUUCAUCCUAAACAGAAAGAUGCGUCCUGUAGAGGAGCUCAGCUUCAACGGCGACAGAGGGAAGGCGAACCUGGCGAUUGGAAGCAGGAGUUUAGGGGGUCGGUCCCAGAGCUCGCCGUACCCACCCCGCUGCGCGGCCGCGCACACCCCAGCGCAGCGGCUCCUCUGCUGUGCCGCUCUUUUGCAA